UUUCUUUUUUUUGCCAGUUUUCCCUCUCUGUAGCUAUGAGACUACAAACUUCCUUCUAUUACUUUAAAUGAGAGCUGAACUUGUCACGUAAUUACUUGCCUCCUGGAGCUGAGGCUUCAAGACAAAGUCAAGGCACUUCUGAAAGAAAACAGGUGAAGAAUGACGAUAUUCUCAUAUCCAAAAGACUGAACUCCCCAUGGCAUGUUUCGAACAAAGCUGAUGCAGAGAUCAGCACUGCCUUGGGGUGAGCUAGGAGCAUCCCAUUUCCCCCGGAGAGACAGCAGGUCCUGCCGGCUGCACAACAGCCUGAUUUCCAGUGCCAGGGAACCCACCCAAAGCUGGAUUGUUCAGCAAGUCAGUGGAAGAAUGCACGUGCCUCAGAAAUUGGAGAGAGUGGUCUGAAUCUACAGGGAGCAGCCAUUAGGUGAAGAAACAGCACAUUCAGUUAUUAC
RNAcentral lists this long non-coding RNA (452 nucleotides) under Dromaius novaehollandiae (emu). RNAcentral's name for it is "lncRNA (ENSDNVG00000008346.1)". Lineage: Eukaryota; Metazoa; Chordata; Aves; Casuariiformes; Dromaiidae. The record is from RNAcentral.